This 2923-nucleotide ribosomal RNA is filed under the name Klebsiella pneumoniae. RNAcentral's name for it is "23S ribosomal RNA". It matches the Rfam family "Bacterial large subunit ribosomal RNA". Lineage: Bacteria; Pseudomonadati; Pseudomonadota; Gammaproteobacteria; Enterobacterales; Enterobacteriaceae. The record is from RNAcentral.
GGGUUGUGAGGUUAAGCGACUAAGCGUACACGGUGGAUGCCCUGGCAGUCAGAGGCGAUGAAGGACGUGCUAAUCUGCGAAAAGCGUCGGUAAGGUGAUAUGAACCGUUAUAGCCGGCGAUGUCCGAAUGGGGAAACCCAGUGCAAUUCGUUGCACUAUCGUUAACUGAAUACAUAGGUUAACGAGGCGAACCGGGGGAACUGAAACAUCUAAGUACCCCGAGGAAAAGAAAUCAACCGAGAUUCCCCCAGUAGCGGCGAGCGAACGGGGAGCAGCCCAGAGUCUGAAUCAGCUUGUGUGUUAGUGGAACGGUCUGGAAAGUCCGACGGUACAGGGUGAUAGUCCCGUACACCAAAAUGCACAGGCUGUGAACUCGAAGAGUAGGGCGGGACACGUGGUAUCCUGUCUGAAUAUGGGGGGACCAUCCUCCAAGGCUAAAUACUCCUGACUGACCGAUAGUGAACCAGUACCGUGAGGGAAAGGCGAAAAGAACCCCGGCGAGGGGAGUGAAAAAGAACCUGAAACCGUGUACGUACAAGCAGUGGGAGCACCUUCGGGUGUGACUGCGUACCUUUUGUAUAAUGGGUCAGCGACUUAUAUUCUGUAGCAAGGUUAACCGUAUAGGGGAGCCGCAGGGAAACCGAGUCUUAACUGGGCGUUAAGUUGCAGGGUAUAGACCCGAAACCCGGUGAUCUAGCCAUGGGCAGGUUGAAGGUUGGGUAACACUAACUGGAGGACCGAACCGACUAAUGUUGAAAAAUUAGCGGAUGACUUGUGGCUGGGGGUGAAAGGCCAAUCAAACCGGGAGAUAGCUGGUUCUCCCCGAAAGCUAUUUAGGUAGCGCCUCGUGAACUCAUCUUCGGGGGUAGAGCACUGUUUCGGCUAGGGGGUCAUCCCGACUUACCAACCCGAUGCAAACUACGAAUACCGAAGAAUGUUAUCACGGGAGACACACGGCGGGUGCUAACGUCCGUCGUGAAGAGGGAAACAACCCAGACCGCCAGCUAAGGUCCCAAAGUCAUGGUUAAGUGGGAAACGAUGUGGGAAGGCACAGACAGCCAGGAUGUUGGCUUAGAAGCAGCCAUCAUUUAAAGAAAGCGUAAUAGCUCACUGGUCGAGUCGGCCUGCGCGGAAGAUGUAACGGGGCUAAACCAUGCACCGAAGCUGCGGCAGCGACACUAUGUGUUGUUGGGUAGGGGAGCGUUCUGUAAGCCUGCGAAGGUGUGCUGUGAGGCAUGCUGGAGGUAUCAGAAGUGCGAAUGCUGACAUAAGUAACGAUAAAGCGGGUGAAAAGCCCGCUCGCCGGAAGACCAAGGGUUCCUGUCCAACGUUAAUCGGGGCAGGGUGAGUCGACCCCUAAGGCGAGGCCGAAAGGCGUAGUCGAUGGGAAACAGGUUAAUAUUCCUGUACUUGGUGUUACUGCGAAGGGGGGACGGAGAAGGCUAUGUUAGCCGGGCGACGGUUGUCCCGGUUUAAGCAUGUAGGCUGGUUGUCCAGGCAAAUCCGGAUAAUCAAGGCUGAGGUGUGAUGACGAGGCACUACGGUGCUGAAGUAACAAAUGCCCUGCUUCCAGGAAAAGCCUCUAAGCAUCAGGUAACAUCAAAUCGUACCCCAAACCGACACAGGUGGUCAGGUAGAGAAUACCAAGGCGCUUGAGAGAACUCGGGUGAAGGAACUAGGCAAAAUGGUGCCGUAACUUCGGGAGAAGGCACGCUGGUGUGUAGGUGAAGUCCCUGCGGAUGGAGCUGAGACCAGUCGAAGAUACCAGCUGGCUGCAACUGUUUAUUAAAAACACAGCACUGUGCAAACACGAAAGUGGACGUAUACGGUGUGACGCCUGCCCGGUGCCGGAAGGUUAAUUGAUGGGGUUAUCCGUAAGGAGAAGCUCUUGAUCGAAGCCCCGGUAAACGGCGGCCGUAACUAUAACGGUCCUAAGGUAGCGAAAUUCCUUGUCGGGUAAGUUCCGACCUGCACGAAUGGCGUAAUGAUGGCCAGGCUGUCUCCACCCGAGACUCAGUGAAAUUGAACUCGCUGUGAAGAUGCAGUGUACCCGCGGCAAGACGGAAAGACCCCGUGAACCUUUACUAUAGCUUGACACUGAACAUUGAGCCUUGAUGUGUAGGAUAGGUGGGAGGCUUUGAAGCGUGGACGCCAGUCUGCGUGGAGCCAACCUUGAAAUACCACCCUUUAAUGUUUGAUGUUCUAACGUUGGCCCCUGACCGGGGUUGCGGACAGUGUCUGGUGGGUAGUUUGACUGGGGCGGUCUCCUCCCAAAGCGUAACGGAGGAGCACGAAGGUUAGCUAAUCCUGGUCGGACAUCAGGAGGUUAGUGCAAUGGCAUAAGCUAGCUUGACUGCGAGCGUGACGGCGCGAGCAGGUGCGAAAGCAGGUCAUAGUGAUCCGGUGGUUCUGAAUGGAAGGGCCAUCGCUCAACGGAUAAAAGGUACUCCGGGGAUAACAGGCUGAUACCGCCCAAGAGUUCAUAUCGACGGCGGUGUUUGGCACCUCGAUGUCGGCUCAUCACAUCCUGGGGCUGAAGUAGGUCCCAAGGGUAUGGCUGUUCGCCAUUUAAAGUGGUACGCGAGCUGGGUUUAGAACGUCGUGAGACAGUUCGGUCCCUAUCUGCCGUGGGCGCUGGAGAAUUGAGGGGGGCUGCUCCUAGUACGAGAGGACCGGAGUGGACGCAUCACUGGUGUUCGGGUUGUCAUGCCAAUGGCACUGCCCGGUAGCUAAAUGCGGAAGAGAUAAGUGCUGAAAGCAUCUAAGCACGAAACUUGCCCCGAGAUGAGUUCUCCCUGAGACUUUAAGUCUCCUGAAGGAACGUUGAAGACGACGACGUUGAUAGGCCGGGUGUGUAAGCGCAGCGAUGCGUUGAGCUAACCGGUACUAAUGAACCGUGAGGCUUAACCUUACAACGCCGAAG